This 64-nucleotide transfer RNA is filed under the name Anelytra obtusa. RNAcentral describes it as "tRNA-Tyr". It matches the Rfam family "tRNA". Rfam says of the family: Transfer RNA (tRNA) molecules are approximately 80 nucleotides in length. Their secondary structure includes four short double-helical elements and three loops (D, anti-codon, and T loops). RNAcentral also lists the same sequence under 1 other name. The record is from RNAcentral. Lineage: Eukaryota; Metazoa; Arthropoda; Insecta; Orthoptera; Tettigoniidae.
GGUAAAGUGGCUGAGGUUAGGCGAUAAACUGUAAAUUUAUAGACGGGUAAUUACUCCUUUACCA